Molecule: ribosomal RNA, 361 nt
Filed under: uncultured bacterium
Lineage: Bacteria
Description: partial 16S ribosomal RNA
Source: RNAcentral
UACGGAGGGGGUGCAAGCGUUUAUCCGGAUUUUACUGGGGGUUUUAAAAGGGGGUGCGCAGGGCGGAUAUGUAAAGUCAGUGGUGAAAAUCUCCCGGGGGCUUUAACCCCCGGGAAACUGCCGUUUGAUACUAUAUAUCUUUUGAAAUGCUGUGGAGGUAAGCAGAAUAUGUCAUGUAGCGGGUUGAAAAUGCUUUUAGAGAUGACAUAGAAUACCCUAUUUUUUUUUUGCGAAGGCAGCUUUACUACGCAGAUAUUUUGACGCUUCAUUGCACGAAAAGCGUUGGGGGGGGGGAUUCAAAACAGGGAUUUAGAAAAACCCCCCUUGUAGUUCCCAGACCCAAAGUUCCUCUUGCUACCCG